Molecule: ribosomal RNA, 441 nt
Filed under: uncultured bacterium
Lineage: Bacteria
Description: partial 16S ribosomal RNA
Rfam family: Bacterial small subunit ribosomal RNA
Source: RNAcentral
ACUACGGGUGGCAGCAGUGGGGGAUAUUGCACAAUGGGGGGAACCCUGAUGCAGCGACGCCGCGUGGGUGAAGGAGUAUUUCGGUAUGUAAAGCCCUAUCGGCAGGGAAGAAUUUAGACGGUACCUGACUAAGAAGCCCCGGCUAACUACGUGCCAGCAGCCGCGGUAAUACGUAGGGGGCAAGCGUUAUCCGGAUUCACUGGGUGUAAAGGGAGCGUAGACGGCCAGGCAAGCCUGGAGUGAAAGCCCGGGGCCCAACCCCGGGACUGCUCUGGGAACGGUCCGGCUGGAGGGCGGGAGGGGCAGGCGGAAUUCCUGGUGUAGCGGUGAAAUGCGUAGAUAUCAGGAGGAACACGGGCGGCGAAGGCGGCCUGCUGGACCGCGACUGACGUUGAGGCUCGAAAGCGUGGGGAGCGAACAGGAUUAGAGACCCCUGUAGUC